Gadus morhua (Atlantic cod) is the source of this 1035-nucleotide long non-coding RNA. RefSeq lists it as uncharacterized. The transcript is spliced from 2 exons. NCBI's taxonomy places the organism in Eukaryota, Metazoa, Chordata, Actinopteri, Gadiformes, Gadidae. The record is from RefSeq and is a predicted model, not a curated record.
CUGGUUACAGAUGGACUGGAAAUGUAUCAUUUAUGUCUUAAUAUUAAUGAUGGUUCAUUUGAACCGUUUCUGUAGGCGCUAAAGAGAGAGUGGAGGAGGAGGAGGACCAAGAGGAGAUCCAGCGAGAGGCCUUUUCCCUUGGGCCAGACGCUGUGGGCACCCCCCAGCCUGUCAGAGCCCUCAUCCAGGGAGAGAGGGGCUACUCCUCUGCAGUGAAGUACAAGAUAACAGCCACUCCUGGGGGCGGUUAGAGCCAGCAGAGGGGGCGUUUCCGGGUCGACGGUCAGGAGGUGCGCUUCUUCACCCCCGUGAGACGUUCGGUGAGGAUCGAGAGGGUCUCCCUGGGCUACCCGGCCUACCUCCGAGAGCAGGACCCGUGCGUGGCCUCCUACGACGACCUCCUGGCCGAGGACGAGCCGGAGGGGAGUGGGGAGCGGCAGGAGGCGAGCGGCGGAGCGUCUCACCAGUGCACCGCUACGCCCGUCUACGUUUACCGAGAGAACGAGGCCCUCCAGGACCAGGUGAAGGUGCAGUUGGUCUACGACGACGACGAGUGAGCUCGGCAGCAUUCGAGUGAGGGUGGGGUUGAGUCGGCUUGAUCCUUCACACGAUCCUUCACAGAAACUCACACUCCUAUCUAUCCUUAUGUCACAGGAGACAUACAGGCCCUUGAAAUUCUGCAUUUUAACGAACUGAAAAUUUUAAAUAUUUAUAUUUCUUGGUUUCUUGGUCUAUAUUUCUUGCUAUUACAUGGUUCUAGAAAUAACUUUGUAACUUAAAAAAAAUAAUAAUUAUACUUGUGCUGGACAUCGAAUUCAAAAGCAUGGGUUUUGUAUGUGUGUGUAUAUGUAUUUUUCAUGAAAAGGUUGUAAAGGCUCAGAUUUUUCGCACAUGACCCUCCUAGAUUGUAUUGAAUGAGAUUUGGUAGUGACAAAGAUAAAUGUCUUAUUUCGUGAUGCAUAUUUCAUACUGUGCAUAUUGUAUUGUACGUCAUUUCUCACUCACUUAAAAAAUAAAUUAAAACUUCUCAAGGGA